Molecule: ribosomal RNA, 168 nt
Filed under: uncultured bacterium
Lineage: Bacteria
Description: partial 16S ribosomal RNA
Rfam family: Bacterial small subunit ribosomal RNA
Source: RNAcentral
CUCGCAUGGUGGAACUAUUAAAGAAUUUCGGUCAUCGAUGGGGAUGCGUUCCAUUAGGUUGUUGGCGGGGUAACGGCCCACCAAGCCUUCGAUGGAUAGGGGUUCUGAGAGGAAGGUCCCCCACAUUGGAACUGAGACACGGUCCAAACUCCUACGGGAGGCAGCAUG